RNAcentral lists this microRNA precursor (230 nucleotides) under Oryza sativa (Asian cultivated rice). Lineage: Eukaryota; Viridiplantae; Streptophyta; Magnoliopsida; Poales; Poaceae. The record is from RNAcentral.
AGUGAAAACCACAUAUGUAGUGGAAACUUGAAAACUACCGUUGAAUCGAGAAAUGGACGUCCGAGAUUCGUCCACGUCACCACGAGUUAAAAUUUAACUCCCAGUAAAUUUUUAACUCAUGAGUGAAUCUGCGAGUUAAAUUUUAACUCGUGGUGACGUGGACGAAUCUCGGACAUCCAUUUUUCGAUCCAACGGUAGUUUCCAAGUUUCCACUACAUAUGUGGUUUGCA